CACGUGAUAACACAUAGGAGCUGUGGCGGAGACGGCAGUACUAGAAACGAAAAGCCAACAAGUGCAAAAAACCAAAAAAACCCACAAAAAACGACUGGGCAGGCUGCUCUCUCUGGCCAGAGUUUGCUUUUGCGAUUUGCCAACCGUAUGUGUGUUAACCAUCGUGAUAAGCGUGGUGAAUCGAGAGUGGGGCGCGCAGCGAUGGCCAGAGAUCUGAGGUUGGCGCCGAAGUGCUUUUUGCAGAUGCAGAUAAUCGUCAAAAGCAAUUCCGAGAGCCACAGGAGCGGGGGUUGGGGUAGUUGGAGCGGUGGAGCGGAGGGUUGGGGGUGGAGCGCCUUGUUGAGAUGAUUACAUCAUCUUUUUGAUUUCAUUUGGUUCUUGUGGCUCUUUUUGGUGGCUCUGUGGGUUCUGGUCCCGGCAGCAAUGUGGUUGGAUCCAGAAGAGACCGAGCUUGGCCGCCGAAAAAGAAACGUGGUUGCUACAGGGUCUCCAGACGAUGAGACAGGCACAUUUGAGACAUAGCGUGUCUUCAAAGCGAGUAUGGCGAUGGUUGGCUGACGACCAUGUGUAGAACGAUUUGAUUGUUGGAGCACCCAAUCGUCUCGCGACUGUUGACUUGGUACUGUUGACUCGCGACUGUUGAACCAUCUCCCAGUUGUCUCCGGUUGUGUGUCCAGCUAUGUCCCCUGCCCCUCAUUGACCACCGUUAAACGGUUGCUGAGUUGUCUGCCGGUUGCACACUGCUAGCACCGUGACAUUGCAAAUACCACUCGACUAGCCAGGGCAAGGUGGUGGAGGGGUGAUGGAGGGGAACCAGAAGCUGCGCGAGCGGUAGCGGGGCUGUUCUAUACAGCGGACUGCAGCCCUGACUCGGUAGAUAGCCCGCUGCCGAAAAUCCGAGCUGUAACCGGGUCGGAGCUGGCCAGCCGCUCUUGACAUCGGCUCGAUUGACACCUUCCACUGCAGCUUCACUCGUUUGACAGCUGUCAGUGGCCAGGGGUAUAAUAUCGAUACGAGUGUAGCAGUGACAUUGGAGGCGAGACGUUUGACAGCGAGAUGAAGACUGCCACGUCGGACUUGUGGAGGUGCCGUUGGCAGAUCGAGGAAUAGUAGUGACGAAGUUGGAAGGUCAGAAGAAAGCCGAGGAGAAGAAAGACGAGGAGAAGAAAGACGAGGAGAAGAAAGAGAAGACAAAGAAGGGCUGCUCAAGUCGAUAGCGGUAACUGAGGGGAACUCAGAACGUGAACCAUGCCCCGACCCACCGUAUGAACAAUGCUCUGAACUACUGUAUGUGCAUGCUCAUGAAAAGGCUCGUACUAGAGUGACCAGAUGAGAGGGUGGAUACAUACUGAGUAACUGGUGGAUAUCGAGUAGAUGAUACAUCAGUCAGCUGACACCAGUGAACACAGCCAACUCAGCAACUCAGCAACUCAGUCGUUCAGCAACUCAGCAACUCAGUCAUCGACCAACUCACCAGCUCACCAACUCACCAACUCACCAACUCACCAGCUCACCAACUCACCAACUCACCAACUCAGUCUUCCGCUAAUCACCAAUCACAUGACUGUGGCUUACUACUCAUUUCCCUACCACUUGACCACUUUUUUUUCGUUUUCACACGGUGCUAACUCGAAACACCUAAGACCAACAAAGCCAUCCUAUUACUCAUCAUUGGCGCGUGUCUAGUGCCAUUACCGGUACGGAAACUGCUACCAGUACUCAUGGUCCAUGAUCUACAUAUGAUGACAAAUCCAACCUCCAACUCCCACUCCAACUCCAACUCCAACUCCAACUCCAACUCCAACUCCAACUCCAACUCCAACUCCAACUCCAACUCCAACUCCAACCGCCAAGAGCGCUGCUCCGUUCUGGGCUGCGUCGAAUAACACAAAACCAAACCACGGCCAUCUCAAUCCACGCUAACCCCUUCUGCCUUGUCCACUACCGGCACAUGCUCACUCCCAGAACCUCCUUCCGCUACGCUGGGAAUGUUACAUUGCAAUACGAGUGAACGUGGAGACGAGCGCGGUUAACAUGGCUGGUUGUUUGGCCGGUCUUUUGGCCGGUCGCUAGGCUGCUCCCCAGCCAGUCCUCCUCCUCCUGGGUCCUCCUUCUCCCCCCCCCCCCCAACUACACAAACCACUAAAUAUACACGUUUAUUUUA
Molecule: unclassified non-coding RNA, 2164 nt
Filed under: Yarrowia lipolytica
Lineage: Eukaryota; Fungi; Ascomycota; Dipodascomycetes; Dipodascales
Source: RNAcentral